RNAcentral lists this ribosomal RNA (253 nucleotides) under uncultured bacterium. RNAcentral's name for it is "partial 16S ribosomal RNA". It matches the Rfam family "Bacterial small subunit ribosomal RNA", at positions 524 to 776 of the family's 1533-position model. The record is from RNAcentral.
UACGUAGGGUGCAGGCGUUAAUCGGAAUUACUGGGCGUAAAGCGUGCGCAGGCGGUUUCUUAAGUCAGAUGUGAAAUCCCCGGGCUUAACCUGGGAACUGCGUUUGAAACUGGGAGACUUGAGUGUGGCAGAGGGGGGUGGAAUUCCACGUGUAGCAGUGAAAUGCGUAGAUAUCGGGAGGAACACCAGUGGCGAAGGCGAGUCCCUGGACAAUUCCUGACGCUGAGGCACGAAAGCUAGGGGAGCAAACAGG